GAUAGUUGGAACUUAGGUAGAGGCGCUUCCUCCUGUUCAUCUUAUGGUAGGUUUGCCAGAACACUCCAUGAUAGUAUACAAGCCAGAGUCACUUCGCCGAUAUUCAAGGUCUUUUAUGUAAGUAUAUGGUUAUUUAAAUGUAAAUCAUUGGAUUUGUUGUAAACAUUGUACGCUUGGUUUGCAUGAUAAUGUUGCCACAGGUUGGCAAAUGGUAAUAUUAUUUUGUGAAUGGUAUUGUUCGGUUACCAUGACUUAUUUUCAAAAGGAAAUUAUUUUUGAAAACAAUGAAUUAAGAACCUUAGAGGUAAAAGAGAGACGAAUGGUCUAAUGAACAAGUUUAUAUAGAAAGGCUUGCUUGGGCCCAAUGAGCCACUCCUAUUGGUCUUUGCGCCAAUCAUGGCCCGAGAAUUGGGCUGUGACACAUAGCUAGAAUCAUCAUCCACCGGUCAUCAGCUCAUGCGCAGUCCCACACGACAUAUAACUGGAAUCAUCACCCACCGAUCAUCAACUCAUGUGCACUCUCACACCGCACAUAGCUAGAUUUAUCACCCACCGGUCAUCAGCUCAUGUGCACUCCCACACCGCACAUAGCUGGAAUCACCCGUCAUCAUCGAUAUGUGCACUCCCACACUGCACACGCGCAGUUACAAUUAUUACACAAGAUUAUCAUACAAAGCAUAACAUAUAUAUCAUCAGAAUAUAAGAACAGACGGGUUCAUCACAUUACACAUUUUGCAACAUAAAAUGUUUCAUCAAGGGCUUGUUCCCAAGCAUGAUUCAGAGAAAAAAAUCAAAUAAAAUCAUUUAAGUGCUUUAUCCCAGCACAUAUGUAUUUCUCAAAAAUAAUUUAAUGCAAGUUCACUCACCUUAACAAUGCCACCUAACAAGACUAGCACCUACAAGAUCUUAAUCCAAGUAGUCUCGAAAUACCAUUAAAACCUAUAAUUGCCAAUAAACAAUAAUAGCUUCAGAUAUAUCAUAAAUUUAAACUUAAUAAUUCUAAUAAGCAUACUCUUGAUAAAUUACAUUUUAGCCUAAUUUUUAACCUAGAAUUCUAGUCUAAUUCUCAAACCCAUUAUAUCAACUAUUCCAAUUUAAAGGUUCUUUACCUUGGUGAGCUUGGAGUCAUAAAGAUAAACAAAAACCUAAUAUUUCCAAGAAAAAGAAUAUGAAGAAAUUAGGAAAUAAAAUCUAAAAAUAUAACCCAUAAAUUCUAAAAUUCAAGAGUUGAAAAUACAUAUCUUUUGGCUUUAAAAUGAAGGAAGAAAGAGAGAUUUUUCUUUCUCUCUCUUACGGUUUGGUUGUGUUGAAAAUUAGGGUUAAAAGUUGUGGGUUUUGGUGCCCAAGAAGUUAGGAGAAGAAAAAAGUAAGAAAAGAAAGGAAAUGGAAAUAAAACAAGGAAAAUCAAAUGAAGAAAUUUUGAUUUUCAUGGAGGUGAAAUGAAAAUGGCGUUGGGUGGGUGAGGAAGAAGAAGAAAAUAUCUUUUGGUGAAGAUAAAAACUGGUCAUGGGAUAAGGAUGAUGAGUCAAAGCUUCCAUUGGAAGCUUUGACCAAUCUAAUGGCAAAAUUACCAUUUUACCCUCUAAAGUUUUCAACCUUUUUAAUUGUAUCCUCCCAUAAUCUUUUAAUUCCAAUUUCUUUCCAUUUUUUGUCCUUAACACUUGUGCCAAUAAAAUGUCAAGUUUAUGCUUCAACGUGGUAUCACCUACAACAUUUAAAUAUUUACUUACCCGCGCUAGCUUUAUUUAAUAAAGACAUGUGGACGCCAUUAACGUCAUUUUUUUUUAAAUUUUCUCAUUCUUCUUCUCCCCCACUUAGAUUGACCAUAUACUCCUUAAUGGAAAAUUUCGACACAGAAUAAAAUAUUAAUAUUUUAAUAUUAUUUUGUUAAUAAAAUAUUAUUUUAUUUUAAAAUUUUCCACGUGUCUCCUUGUCACCCAAAAUGUCUUAUUAUGGCUCGAUUCACUUCCGAAUCAUUUUUUAUCUCGCUAAUUCAUCUUCAAUAAAAAUAUUAUUAUUCAAUUGUUAUUUCUUCGCGUGCGAAAUAUUUUUUUCCAAACUAUUCCUUUCACCUCUCAUCACUGUUAAACAUUCUAAUUAACCUCAAUUGGCAUCCGAUAAGCUUUAUUAGCUACCAUAUCAAAGUACGGGGUAUUACAGCUAUCCUCCAUAUAAACCAAAUAAAUCUAAGGAAAGAAUGGAGAAGAAAAUUCUUUACAAAAUUCUGCGAUACUUUCCACUCAUACUUAGGUUACAAAGACUUUAUAUGUCUAGAAAAAUCAUAGAACACAUGACAUGGCAUGCUACACUCCAAUUCAAUGAUGGAGUGCCUAGACAUCUUGUUGAUGGUAAGGCUUGGCAACACUUUAAUCACACUUAUCCAUCUUUUGUGAUAGAGCCUCGCAACAUCAAACUCGAUUUAUGUUAUGAUGGUUUCAGUCCAUUUGGUCCAGUGACGAAAUUGUACUCUGUUUGGCAAGUAAUGCUCAUCGUCUAUAACUUACCUCAACGGAUGUGAAUGAAGAAACCAUACAUCUUUCUUAAUCUGGUCAUCUUAAGAAGUAGAAGUCUUGGACAAAACAUAGAUGUUUUCUUGUGACCUUUAACAGAUGAGUUAAAAGUUCAGUGGGAUGAAAGUGUUGUCACGUACGAUGCCUUUACGAAACAAAAUUUUAUUGUCAAGUUCUACUCUAUCAAAAAAUUGUUAAAAGUUAGUAUUGUACCUAAUGGUACAAUUAAGUUGAUUAAAGCCUCGAACUAGGCCAAAUAAAGAUUUUACGAUGUAUUUGAGACUUAUUGAAUCUUAGAAUGUCUUAAUAUGGUGAUUCGAAGUUCGAGGAUUGAUUUGGAGUCGAAUCGAGAAUUUUCAUAACGUAGGGGCAAAAUUGGAAUGUUGGACGAGAUUUUUGAUCAAAUUUGACUAUUUAGAGCAUAAUUUGAAAUUAUGGAGUGAAAAUUUUCAAUUUCGACAUUUUUCGAGUAUAAGGGCAAAAUUUUCAUUUCACGUAUCCAUGAGGAUGUAAUUGAAAUUUUACACCACCAUGACACUUGUCAAGCCCAUGAAUUUCACCUAUUAUCACUUCAUACUUUGGAUAAUUAUGAGAUUACAUGUGGUGGUGAGAAAUUGCUUAAUGAUUAAGUUUUAAGCAUGGACCAAUUACAUGGUGACAUGUGGCAAAUUUUAAUCCUUUUAUAAUUCCCUUUAAAAAACCAGCACACACUCCUCUCAAAUCACUCUUAUGGCCGGCCAAGCAAGGGAACAAAGAGAAAAAGAGAAGAACAAACACUAGGAAGGAAAAAUUCAAGAGAAAUUGUUGGAUUUCAAGGAAUCAAGCAAGUAAAGGUAAGAUUUUUUAAUUUUAGCUUGUGAUCUACCUCUCACAUGCAUUCUUUUUCAUUCUCCAUGGCUGAAAUUCAAGUUUUCAAGAGGGAACCUUUGCUGGCCAAAUCUAGAGAGAGAAGUUUUGGUGAUGAAUUUUAUGAGAUUUCAUAAUAUCCUAGUGUUUUUAGUCAUUUUGUGAUGUUUGGAAGUAAAAACAAGCAAGAAAAUCACAUGUUCUUCAACCACCCUCAUUUGGCCGAAUUUUCUAUAGGGCAUGUUGAUGAUGGAUUUGGUGGUAUUUCAUGUAAUUUAGCUAGGAAUUGAUAAUUAUAGGGUUGGAUAUUGAAACUGGUUAUUGAAAAAUAUAGUUCCUUUAGAAAAUGGCUUGAUGGAAAAUGAGAAAAUCAUAAUAAAUGGACUUGGAUUUGAUUCCUAAUGAUAUAUAUGGAUUUACGAGACUGUGUAGACAUUGAUUAGUAUGUUAGUUCGGAAUCGGAAUGAAUUUCAGAAAAUGGUGAUGUUAGUAAAAAAUCAAGUUCAUUGUAAUGCUUUGGUGUAUUAGAUUAUUGGGAGUGUAAUGAAUUUAUAUGGAAUUGAAUCGAAUGUUUUGGUUAAAUAAAUGGUGUAUAAUUCGAAUUAGGUUGAAUACAAAUUCAUUCCGAUCACAAUUGAACCCACCUAGAACACCGUCUUUAAGUGAUUAUUUGGACAAUUCUCAUUCAAUGUCAUGCAUUCAUAUGGAGCCUAAAAUAGUUUUAUAACAGUUUGGCAUAAAUAUAUUGAAUUACGUGUCGCGUAUUAUGUAUAGGUGGUGAGCCUUUUGAUAAGGGUACAGAUAUUGUGCCCGAGGACCAAGAAUAGGAGUAAUCAGACUUUCAUCUUAACUAUCUAAAGUAGUUUAUACUCGUUUUUAUGUUUUAAAGAAAAAUGAAUUUAAAUUGCAAACUAUUAUGUUUUAUAAUUGAAGUGUUGAUUAAACGAAAUGAGAUUUAUAACUUGUUUUGAAAUUGAAUACUGGUUUUGGAAAUUGAGUAAGUGGAGACUGUAUAUUUCUGUUAUAUAUAUGUUUUGACAUAUGGUUUGAAUUGAUGGCUUAUGACAAUGUGAUGGCAAGCAUGGCUGGAUUUGUGUUUGUGUGGAAUAUAUGAACUGUUUUGCUUUGCCUUGACAGGUUGGUAAUAUUAUAUUAGCCAUGUCAUGUUAUCGGAAAUUUUACUGAAUUGGUGGGUUAUUUGAUUAGCUUAUUGCAGUGGGAGGGUUUCCAUGGACCAGCCUAUUAGAGGGGCACGGUAAACCCCGUUAUAUUUACCCUAGUACGAAAGGUGCGGAGGGUAUCUCCUAAGGUACAGUUAGAGUUCACCUCAUGCCGAACCACCACGUGAGGGUGAAACUUAGCCAACGCCAAGGAAUGGCUAUACUUUUAAAUGUAAAAAUGAGUUUUAUACUUAUAUGUUAUUUUAACAGCCUUGGCGGACUCGGUUGGAUGCCUGAUGCAAGGUGUCACCGAGUGCAAGUUUUUUACACGGGCCAAGUUUUAAGAGAAUCAUAAGCCUUGUUGAUUUUUAUGAAAUGAAAUGAGAUUCGAUGUUAUGAAUCAUAUUAUGAUGAGAUAUUUUAAAUUGUCUCCAUUUACUCGACUUUAGAUGUUUUAGAUGAAAUUUGCUUACUCAGUGGGUUUAUAAAAACUCACCCCUUCUUUUUACCCAUUUUAGGCUCAGGGCAAUCUGUAGAUCGCUGAUUAUGUCGAGGGUUUGCUUUUGGGUUUGCACCCUUAGAAAUCACAAGUCUAUAGUCUUGUACAUGUAUGUUUAUUUUGGGGGCCCACAUGUCAUUGUAGAAUAUUUUGUAUACUUGGCUACGUGUGCCACUGUAUGUAUUAAUUUAUUUUUCUUUUACGCUAAAAAAAUUAUUUACGUAGAGUUCUAUAAAUAUUGUUUUAUAAGAAAAUAGAAUAUUUUAUUUAAUAUUUUUAUUUAAUUUGAAUAGCUGUAAUUUCACUUUAAAUUGAUGAAUUAGACAACGAAACUUAUUUUUAGACAUGAAAUGGAUGCUUAUUACUCAUAUAUCAUAUUUUUACCAAGGUUCGAAAAUUUUGGGUAAAAUGACCAAAAUACCCUUGUGUAGAGAAAUUAGUUUUUGAUUGUUUUUUAUUUGAAAUUGGUCUAUAUUUCUUUAAAACAUGGUAUUUAAUAAUUGUUGCUCACAGGGGAGAAGUAAAACUAAUGUAAAAGCCUUGCGAGGUUUUGGUUGGCAUUCCGGGUAAUGAAUGUCAAUCGAGACAUCGCGGUGGAUGUCACUGGCUAGAAGGGAGUACCGGGUCGUGACAUUUAUUCUAUGAGAAACACUUUUGUGGACCAUUAAUGACUUUCUUGCAUAUGAUAUGUUGUUCAAGUGGAGCACUCAUGGAUGUUUAUCAUGCCCGUCUUGCAUGGAAUAUGGGAAGAGUUUCAUUUUGCAGUGUGGGAAGAAGCCUUUUUUGUUUUUUAUUGUCAUUGACAAUUCUUCCCAAUGGUCACGACCCAGAACUCCCAUCGAGCCCGUGACAACUGUCGCGAAGCCUCAAAAGACAUUCUUCCCCCGAAUACCUUUCAAGACCUCGCAAGGCUUUUGUACCAAUUUUUCAAUUCCUCUCUAUUUUUUCCUUUUUUCUAAAUAAUAAAAUAAAAUAAAAAUAUUAAUUAAAAUAAUCUAUUUUAAUGUAAAACAAUAUAUAUAUAUAUAUUUUUGAAGCAUCAAAAAUUAAUUUUUUGCACAUAAAAACAAAAUAAAUUUAUACAUACUGUAAUAUAGAAAACUGGAGUAUACAAUUUAAAUUACAAUGACACGUGGGCCCCCAAAUAACUGAGAAGGUUUAAGUCUAUAACCUUGCUUUCUAGGAUGCAACUCCGAAAUUUACUUCUCGAUGCAAUUGAUAGUCUAUUGCCUAUUCUGAGCCUGAAAAAUGUAUAGGAAGAAGGGAUGAGAUUAUAAAAUCCCAGUGAGUAGACAGACAUCAUCAAAAUAAUCUAAAGCCGAGUAAUAGGAGAUAAUUAAAAUAAUUCAUCCCAACCCAUGUAAAUAAUUGGAUUUUAUCCAAUUACUCAACAUGGCUUAUGCACUUUUCAAAAACUUGGCCUUUGCCAAAAAUCCAUUCUCGGGGAUACCCCGCGAAGGCAUCUUACCGAGAUCGCCAAGGCUGUUUAUUAUCACACAAACAAACACAUUUCACCUCUGACAACAUAGCCGUUCCUCAGCGUUGGUUGAGUCCCAGUUUCACGUGGUGGCCAGCGUGAAGUGUACUCAAAUCCUACCUCGAGAGUUAUCCUACUCGCCUCUCCAAUCGAGGUAAGCUCAAUAAUUGGGAACCGUGCCCCUUUAAUUAGGCUGGCCUACAGAACCCCCGUCACUGCAGUGCCCACUUUAUAAUCCACCAACCAAUAAAAUCACAAUAGUAUGACAUGGCUCACUUAACACAUUCAAGGCAAAUCAAAGCAGUUCACAUAUUCUUUAAAUCAUAAAAAUAACUAGUCAUACCCAUAUUUAUCAUAAGCCAUUUCAUGUAAAAUCAUGGAUAACAACACAAUCAUAGUAUAGGUCUCCAAUUACUCUAUUUUUGAAAUCAUUAUUAAAUUUUCAAAAAUUUUAUAAAAUCCCAUUUUUCCAUAAAACACAAUAAUUUUCCAAUUAAACCAUUUUUUCAUAAAAUCACACAAUUAAAUAAAUCUACUCUAGAUAAUUAAGACGAUAGUAAGUUUACUCAUUGUACUAGGAGUAGAUAUACUCCUAUUCUUGGUCCUCGGCUGUAGUCUUUUACCCGUAUCAGAUAGCUCACCACCUGUCCAAAAUACAUGAUACAAAAAUUUCAAUAAUUUGUGUCAAAUUAAUAUAUAUUAUUUCAGGCUCUUAUCCAUGCGUAUGCACUAGAUAGGGUGUGAAAUGUUUGGACAAUCGCUUAAUCACAAUGUCCGACCUAAAUCGCCUAUAUACGGUGUAUAUUUCUAAAAUCUCCAAUUCAACUCCAAUUCCAUCGAUUUCAAUUUCAAUUAUCCAAUUAUAUCCACAAUACCUCAAUGACUGUGAAUGUGGUCCAAUUUAUCAAUUCAGACCACAAAUUACACUUUUACCCCUAGUGGGUAAAAAUUUCAAUUUUUUUUUGCACAAAAAAUUCCCAUUUAAUUUCCAACUUCAUAAUUCAUCAUUUUUCCAUCUAAUUCUCUUAAAAUAAAGUCAACCUCAUCCUCACACACCAUUGGCUAGAUUCGGCCUAGAGAAAUUCAUAGAGAAAAUGAAUAUUUUUCUUGUUAUUUUACUCAUAAACAUGCUAAACUAACACUAAACACUAACAUAGUUCAAAAUCAAAUUAAUCUAACAACUUUCUCUCUCUAAACCCAUAUGAUCAGAUUUGAAUCCAUCAUCAAAACACAUAAUUUAACCAUGAAAAAUAAGGAGAAAUGCAUGGAAAUGAUAAAUCUUAAGCUAAGCUUGAAAAAUCAUACCUUUAAACACUUGAUUCCUUGAAAAAUCACACUUUUUCUUUGAAUUUUCUCACUCUAGGGUUUGUUCUUAUUUCUCUCUCUCUCCUGCUGGUUUUGGCUGACCCUCCCAAUGAAGAAUUCUGGAAUUUUCAAGCCUUUUAAUAGGCUUAAUAAAAUAUUAUUAUUUUAUUUACCUUUUGAAUAUUUUAUUAUUUUAUUUUUUUCUAGCCAUUUUUUUUACUUUCUUUUUCUACCACUCAAUCCUCUUCACUUAUCCAUGUCUUCCCUGAAAUUUCUAGACUUUUCCAAAAUUUUGGUGGAGCAAAUUUUUAAAAAUUACACUUUUGCCCCCGUAAUGUGAAAAAUUACAUUUUUACCCCAAAAACUGAAAAAUUGCCCAUAGAUAUUUUUUUCAUCCCUUAUACUCAUACCAUUCUCCAAUUUGUCAAAUGUGAUCUAAAUUCUCUCAAAAUAUCAAAUUUUGUCCGCGGGUGGAAAAAUUACAAUUUUGCCCUUAGAUAGUGAAAAUUUUGGUUUGACUCCGAAUUGAUCCUCAAACUCCGAAUUACCAUUUUGAGUCACCCCUGAACUGUGAAACUCUUAAUUUCACCUUAAAAUUCCUAUUUGAACUAGUUCAAGGCUUAAUCGACUUAGUGGUACCAUUAGAGGCAAUAUCGUCUUUUAACGAUUUCUCGAACUUCCUAAAUAUACAAACAUUCUAUCGAGGAUGUGAAUGACAUUAUAAUUAUUUUACAAAGUAUGGUUUGACAGAUCAUCCAUUUUGCCACCAAAGAGAUAAAUUUAAAAAACAUGUUGAAAGGGAUCCUCCAAUCCCUCGCUUAUCCAGUGUUGAGAUUUUGCUAUAAUUGGAUACAACUCCUAAUAUCACAUGUGGAGUAAAGGUUGGUGACCAUAAGCUACUGAAUUUUGGUCAAACCCAUAAUUGGAUGAAAAAAAAGCAUUUUUUAGGAGUUACCAUAUUGGAGUACAAAUCUCAUUCGUCAUAACUUGGAUUUGAUGUAUAUUAAGCGUAAUGUCAUUAAUAAUAUAUUCAACACGAUGAUAGAUAUUCCAGGGAAGACGAAAGACUAAAUCAAGGCUCAUUAAGGUUUAGAGGUGUGUUGUAUUACGAAUAAUGGUAAGUUGUAUAAACUGAAAACCUCCUACACUUUGAUUAAAGAGCAAAAGAAAGCUGUGUGUGCUUGGGUGAAAUAGUUACAACUGCUAAAAGGUUAUGCCUUUAGUAUAAUGAAUUGUGUGCAUGAGCAGGAGUGCAAAUUUUAUGAGAUGAAAAGUCAUAAUUCUCAUGUUUUCAUGCAGCGUUUGUGUGACACCCAGUACCCUCAUAUAGACAUCAAUAUAACCUUAUCAAUGAGACAAAGGGUCAAUGGAUGCUGAUUUAAGUGCCAAAGGAUGGAGACAGGUGAAAAGAGUAUUUUAAGAUAAAAUAUUCCGCACGUGAAGAAAUAAUAAUAAAAUAAAAAUUGUUUAUCAAGAAAAAAUUUGUGAGAUAAAAGGUGAUUCGGAUGUGAAUCGAGAUAAAGUAAGAUGUUUUGGAGCCCUAGAAGGCUAGUGGAAAAUUUUGGAAUAAAAUAAUAUUAAAAAUUAAUAUUUUAUUUGAUGUCAAAAUUUUCCAUGAAGGAGAAAUAUAUGGUCAAUCUAAGUGGGGGAGAAGAAGAACGAAGAAAUUUUAGAGAAAAAAUGACGUUAAUGGGGCUCGUGUUUCUUUAUUAAAUAAAGCUAGCACAAAAAAGUAAAUAUUUAAAUAUUACGGUGUUAACAUGUUAAAUCAUAAAUUUGAUAUUUUAUUGGUAUAAGUGUUAAGGAAGAAAAAUGAAAAGAUAUUGGAAUUAAAAGAUUUUGGGAGGAUACAAUUUAAAAGGGUGGAAACCUUGAAGGGCAAAACGAUAAUUUCUCAUAAAGCUUGGUCAAAGCUUCCAAAGGAAGCUUUGUCUAUCCAUCCUUAUCCCAUGGCCGACCAUUGUGUCCAAGGCAUCAUCUUCCUCCUUCAUCUCCUACCAAUGCCACUUUUGUUCCUCCACCAUACAAUCAAGAUUUUCAUUUUCUUUUUCUUGUUUUCUUUUCUUUCCUUUUCAUUUCUUAAUCCUUCCUUCUCCUAACUUCUUAGGCAUCAAACUUGCAGCUUUUAACCCCAUUUCCAGCACAUCUAAACCCUAGAAAAGAGAAAGAAAAACUCUCUUCGUUUUCUUUAUUUUCUAUUUCUACUCCACUUUCAACAACACUUGGAUUUUUGGCUUUAAUCUUCAUUUUUAAGGCCAAAAGGUAUAUAUUUUCAACCUUUGAAUUUUUGAAUUUAUGGGUUUGUAAUUUUUAGACUUUAUUUUCUAAGUUUCUUCAAAUUUCCUUUCCUUGAAAAUUGCUAGGUUUGGUUGAUCUUUAUACCUUCAAGUACCAAGGUAAAUAAACUUCAAACUUGAACAAUUAGUUUAAUGGGUUUAUGAAUUAGACUGGAAUUCUAGGUUAAAAGUUGGGUUAGAGUGUAGAUUGUAUAGUGCAUAUUUAUUAGAAUUAUUAAAUUCAAAUUAUGACUUGAUGGAGGUUUUUAUGGCUUAUUGGUAAAUAUAGGUUUUAACAAUAUUUCGAGACUACUUAAAUUAAGACUUUGUGGGCACUAGUUUUGUAAGGUGGCAUUAAGGUGAGUGAACUUGCAUUAAAAUGUUUUGGAAUAAAUGAUUAUAUGCUUGAUUGAACCAUUUGAAAUAUUUUUUUGGUUUUUCUUAAAAUUUGCAUGGGAAGAAGCCCUUGAUGAAACGUUGUAUGUUGUGAAUGUAUAAUAUGAUGAAUCCUUGUGCUUUUAUAUUAUGUUGAUAUAUAGGUUAUGCAUUGAUAGUUACUAUUGUGUGAUAAUUAUAACAGCGCAUGUGUAGUGUGGGAGUGCACAUGUCGGUGAUGACGAGGUGUAAGAGUCUGAACGAUGGCAUUAGCUGUGCGCGAUAUGGGGGUGCACAUGAUAGACUCGGCUAUGUGCAGUGUAGGAGUGCACAUGAUCUGGGUGAGGCGGUGGUGGUAUACGUGUUUAUAUAUAUAUUUACUAUAUAGAUAGGUUUAGAAUUAAUAUGUUUUUGCAUUGACUGUUGAAACUUGAUUAUUGUCAAAUGUGUUUAAUUUGAUUUUCAUUGCAACAGGAUUGGAUUUUUAUAGUAGUGAAAAUUCCCCUAAUUUCAUCUGCUCAUAAAUUUUACUGUAGCGAAAAUGCCUUUUCGCUGCAGCAAAAGACUCACAGGUGGAUGGAUUUAACCUUUGCUUUGGAUUUUCGCUACAGGGUGAAUGCAUUCUUGUUGCAAUGAGAAACUCUCACUCUGCUAUGCUUGCCUUGCUUGAACUUCCUAAAUGUUUUAAAAUGAGUUGAAAAAUAGUAUGGCACCGAGUUUUGUUCAUAAUAUACCAAAUUGCAUUGUGUUUAAACAAGUGCAUCAUGUUUUUGAAAAGCUUUCAGUAUUGUUUGCUUGUUCCCUUCCUAUGUUCACUCACUGGGUUUAUACUCAUCCUUUUCAACUUCAUGUUUUACUUUUCAGGUUCGUAGAUAGUUAGAUUUCAAGUAGAGGCAUUUCCUCCUAUCCAUCUUACGAUAGGUUUACUAGAACACUCCAUGAUAGUAUUCAUACCAGAGUCACUCCGCUGAUAGCCAAGGUCGUUUGGUAUUUAUAUAUAGUGGUUUAAUUGUAAUUCAUGAGAAUUGUGGUAAACACCAUAUGAUUGAAUUGAAUGAUAAUGUUGCCAUAGGUUGGCAAAUGGUAGUAUUAUUUUGUGAAUGGUAUUGUUCAGUUGCCAUGAUUUAUUUUUGAAAGGAAAUUAUUUUUGAAAACAAUGAAUUAAGAACCUUAGAGGUAAAAGAGGGACAGGUGGUCUAAUAAACAAGUUUCAUAGAAAGUCUUGCUUGGGCCCACUGGGCCAUGCCUAUUGGGUCCUUGCGUCGGUCAUGGCUCGAGAAUUGGGCUGUGAUAGUUUGCUCCCAAUUGUAUUUCACGAUAUGGUUCCUCACGCUAUUUAGAGUGCAAUUGUUGAGAUCUCACAUUUCUUCCGUGAUAUCUCUGCAAUCGAAUUGCGUUUUGAUCAUAUCAAUGCAUGGGAAGGAAAUAUCAUAGAAACCAUAUGCAAAUUGGAGAAGAAUUUUCCCAUAAGCUUUUUCAACUCAAUGGAACAUUUGUCGAUCCACUUGGCAUACGAAGCUAAGGUUGGAAGACAAAUCCAUUACUGAUGGAUGUAUCCUUAUGAGAGGUAUUGGGAGCCACACAUAUAAUUUACUUAUUAUUUUAGGGUUUACAAUUAGAAUCUAACAAGCGCGUUAAUCUUUAAGUUCUUGCAUCAUUUGAAAAAAAAAAGUGAAUAAUUGAGCAUUGGUGGAAGAAUCCAUUUGUGAAGCAUAUAUCAUCAAGGAAAUAUCAACUUUUUGCUUAACAUAUUACAAAACUACAAUCCCAACAAAAAUGAAUUUGGUUCCUGAAAUGAUGUUGGUGGAGACAUUAAUGCAUCUGGUCAUCUUUCAAUUUUCACCCAUCUCGACAGAUCCUUAGGUCUAUUCGAGAAACGUCGAUACCUAGAGAAGGAUGAGUUUUAUGCUGCAGAACUAUAUGUACUAAUGAUUUGCAAAGAGAUAUUGCCAUACGUUGAGUAAGUUUAAGUUAAUUAAUUAUAUGUUUAGAAAAUUAUGAAAAGUGAAUGGUAUUAAUUCACUAUAUGUUCCUCCUAUCUUUAGGAUGUUUAACGAUAUCGUGAAACGAGAAUGAUAUGGUAUUUUUGACAAGGAAUUGGAGAAAGUCCAUGACACAACAUUUCGAAAUUUGUUUAAACAAUAUGCAAGUUAUCUAUAAUAAAUCUAAUUGAUUGUGUUAAAAUAACACUUCAAAAUAUUAUAUGGCAUGUCACUUUCUUGUAGGUGGCCCAACAUGUGAAUCAAAUUGAUUCUCAUCUGGUUGAAAUGUUGCAAGAUUCUUGUCAUAUGGCGAUGUGUUACAAAGGUUACUAUGUGAAUGGAUACAAGUUCCAUACAUUGGACUAUGGAGAAAAUCGCUCCACAAUGAAUAAUGGUGUCUAUAUCUAAGGUCAUAUGCCUAGUGUAGCCUUGCCCACUCAUACCAAUCCAGACCAAGGUAUCCUUUUGUAUCUUGUCGGAAAGAAGUAAUUUCCAAUUAUUACCUUAUUUCAUUAUAUGCAACAAUUUUAUUAAUGUGUUUUAAUAAAGAUGUAUUGAUUUUGUAGUACUUUUACAAAGACUAGAGUGACUCUAACCAUCACAAGAAUAAUCAAGAGUCACUUCAGUGGGCCUUGUCCUACAUGGAGGUUUAUUCCUACCAUGGUGAAAAGCGCCAUGUGGUGUAAAUUUGAGGUGCCAUAUUGUUGUUGUAUAUUUAUUUAGAUUUCUUUUAACAAUACUAAUAUAAAUAUUUAUUUUUAAUGUAGGAGUUUUUUACGUGGGAUGCUAUUGAUGUUUUGGUGGUCUAUAACAUAUGGGAGAAGACUUGUAAAGACUGAUUAAAAAAUCUAUUAACAAAUGAGCACAAGAAUGCCAAGAGGGAUACGUGCACUUGUCACGAUAUCCUUUUGACCAAAGGGAAGGCAUGUCUUUAGAUCACUGCAGAAGUUUGGCACCAACUAGUCGAUAAUGUCUAGGUCACACCCAAGUGGCAGCAUCGAUAUGAGAAGGCCCAGCAAAAUCGCUCGAUAGAAAAGGAUGGUAGAAUAGCAACGCAGACAAGGGGUUCUUUACCUUUUGCUUUACAUUAAAAGGAAAUGGUACGUGUUCUUAACUCGUAUUAAGAUAAUGUGAGCCUUUUGUUGUUGUCGUUGUCUUGUUGACGAUUGCAAAGCAAUGCAUAUUUUUUAUGAUGGGUUUGUUUUUCUUGUGAAUAUGUUAUGUAUUGUUAAUGUUUUAUGAUUUGAAAACAUGUGGUCAUUGUGUUGUUGAAGAUUGCAGAAACAUGCAAAUUGGUGAUGAAGCAUUUUUUUCUUAUUGUGAUUGCAGUCCGAGACGCUACAAAGGCUAGUGACAUUCUUUGAGGUUUUUGACUGCACUCACAAGUGAUAGAAAGGUACUGAAGAGUUUGUGGACAACAAGUCUAAGACUGUUAGUGUAAGUAAUAAAAAUGAGUCAAUUUAUUUUCAUCAUAUUAUUGUAUAUGUGUAUAUGUUACUUAGCAAUUUAAUUAAUAUAAAUGUCAUUUUUUUUAUUUGUAGUAAUCAUACACAUUUGUUUUAUCACAAAAGUAUAGUAAUGAUCCAUCAUCCUAGCCGAAAUUUGAUCUAGUAGCAUGGUCUGAGGCAAUUGGAGGGCCACAAACCACUUGGACCCAUGUCUACGGGUUUAGCACCAUGAUGCAACUUCCUACACUAUUAGCUCUAGCUACAACAUCUGAGUCUACCUAUUGUCUGAUGCCUUCUAUUAAUGUUACACAUGUUCCUCCAUCUGAACCUCAGGGCUAUCAAGAAAUGAAAAGCAAUGUGAAGGAGUUUAAAACUGACAUGCAUGAUAUUAAGUCCAUCGGGAAGGUUGUACUUGAUAGGCUUCCAAAUCUAGCUUGCAAGUCUUCAUCAUCAUAAUUGUUGCAUCCUCAGUCACAACAGUAGUCUCCACUUUCUGAUGAUUUGGCUGAGGCACAACCAUAAUUCCUUUUCAUUAUAGUAUAUAUUCCUUGUAUUAACGUUUUUCAUAAAUUUUGACAUAACACUUCUUUUUUAAUCUUAAAAAAUUUGGUAUGUUUUUUCCAUUUUAUAAUACAUCUUGGAUGUUUUUAAAACAAAAUUCUUGCUUUUAAUAUUAAUAUUAUUAUUAUUCAAUGCAGGAAAUGCAAAUUUUUAAAAAAUUUCAUAAUUAUUACCGACGAAAUUAUUAAUGGAAUUUUCUCAAUACUGAUGGAAUUCGUUACCUAAUUAUUGAUGGAUUUAGCUUCAUUAUCAAUGGAAUAGUACACAUUACCAACAUAAUAUUAAAAAAAAAUUGGUUACUAAUUCCAUCAGCAAUUCCAUAAGCAAUUUCGUCAAUAAAUUACCAAUGGAUUUGCCAACCACAAUUUUCCAUCAAUAAAUUAACGAUUGAUUUGUUGAUUGAAACUUUUUGGUCGGUAUUUUUAUCGAUCGAAUUUGUUGACAGAUUUCCUAUAUCACUGAUGGCUUUAUCGAUCAAUGUAUUGGCAACUUUACAAACGAAAUUACUAAUGAAAUUUUUAGUCGAUAAAUUUACGGACAAAAAUUUAUUACCGACAAGAAUAUUUUUGAUUGAUUAUUGAUAAAAUUUUCUAUCAGUAAUUCCAUCGGUAAUUAACAGAAUGCACACCUUUAUUGAUGAAUUUUUUCGUUAAUAAAACCUUAUUUUUUAAGUAGUGUCACCAAAUGAAUAUAAAAUGGGUUUACAAAGUGAAGAGUUUACCUUAAGCCCUUUAAGAGCCAUGAGGCAUGAUUCUAAUUGGAUUGAGGAUUGAAUUUCACUUGAUUCUUUAUCUCUAAUUGUCAUGCCACAUGUUGAGCAUUGACUUUCACAAGGCUUUUCUUUCAAUUUCUCUUCUUUGCCAUGCAACUCUUCUAAUUUCUCUAAAAUCUCUGACACUUUCACACUUGAACACUCUCUUGUAAUCAUUAUCAUGAAUUGCACAAAAAAGAUUAUGCAUAGCCUUAGCAUUGAGUUGUACCAUAUUCAUGACACUUGUAUCCCAGUUUCUUUUUUCCUUGGUUAGCUUUUAUGGACCAUCAAAAAUUGUUCACCAAACUUCAUAAUCGUUGGCUAAAACAAAAAACUUCAUUCUAUUCUCCCAUAAAUGUAGUUCUCACCAUUGAAUAAAGGAAGCUCCACAAAUGAUUGCCCUUCACCAAGAAUUGUUACAAUAGAGUUAACGGCCAUGUAUUGAAGCUAACAAGGAUCACUUAAAGGCUUUGAAACCUACAAAAUUGAGUUCAAGCUCUGAUACCAAUUGUUAAAUAGUGUUAACUCAAUGAUGAUGACUAGAAGGGGGUGAAUUGGACUUUAAAAAUUUUCUAAGAAACUUAAAACCUUUAAGGAGAUAAAAAGGAUUUUUGAUAACUCUAUUAUAUAGAGUUAUUUUGACACAUUUUGGAAGCUUAAGCAGCUAAAUCUUUGAGAUUUGAGGUUUGGAUUGUAGCAUUUUAGGUAUUUUUCUAGUUUAAGUUUGAUUACAUGUUGAGUAGUUAAUUUAAGUUAUUUUAGUUAAAUUUUAUGUUUUUUUGUUUUAAAUUACUUUAAGAGUAGUUAUUGCUGGUUUCUUUUAUUGCUUUUGUAGGAAAUUUGAUGAAAAAGGCUCAUUUGAUGAAAAUCCAUGCAAGUAUGGUGAUGGCUUCAUUCGUAUAUGUUGCGGUAGUUUGACCAUAUCUUUCUCUACAGAAGUCCAAAUGAAGUGUUUCUUGACCACUACAACACUAAGAAGAAGGGCUACACCUUUUAUAUUUACCACUUUUCCUAGUUCUAAUUGAAUCAUGGCCAAAAUAUUUGUCUAAUUCGAAGCACUAUAGCAGUAUGCAUGGACAAAACAUGAUGUGCUAUUUGGAGCAUAUCAUUCAAUCUAGCAGUCUAAUUGAUGUGAUUCUUAAUCAAUUGGCAAGUUAAGAGAUAGGGUUAAAACUUUUAUGUUUAUCACUUUGCCCAGUUUAAACCAGAUCAGGGUGAAAAUUACAUUCGAAUUUGAUACACUGCUACAGCGUUGGGAGAACAAGGCUGUAGCACUAAUGAAAAGAAGCACACAACACAUUUUCCAGAGAUCUCAGCGCUAUAGCACUAGAGAAGUAGUGUCGCAACGUUGGGCGAUUUUCCAAAAAUAAAGAGUUGAUGGGAUUUUUGAAAUUAGAUUAUUUAGAGCCUAUUUAAGAGACCUUUUUCAGAGGUUUUAAAGGGAAGGCAGCAAGCAACUAUUCCAGAGAUUGGGAGCCAAGAACAAAACAAGAAAACAAGAAAAUUUGAGAGAGAAUUGAGAUCAUAAAGCUUCAAUAAUUUGUUUCUUUCUCUACUCUUAUGUUUCUUUUAUUUUCUUUGACUUGGAUUCAUUGCUAAAUUUCUUUGGAUGUUGUUUUUAUUUGUUAUUAUGAGCUAAAUUAUUUGUUUCUCUUUUAUUUAUCAUGAAUGGGUAUAGUUUUGCUUAUUCAAAUUUGUUCUUAAUGCUUCUGAUUGCUUGGCCAACAAUUAACUAAUUUGUGAAUCUAAUUGAGACUUGACAAAGAGAUUUUAGAUUGAACUAAAGUUUGAAUAAUGUAUGUUCAUGUCACUUAGGUGAUCUGAUUCGUAAUUCGAGUAGACAUACGCCAAUUGCCAUACAUAGCCACAUUAGGACACCUACUUAAUGAACUUAAUUUAAUUGAUUCCUAUAGACAUAUGUGAACUAAUUAAGCGAGGUAUUUGUACAAGCAACUCGACAGAGACGUGUCCAUAGCUUUGGAUUCUAGGUUAGUACAACCACCUAGGAAAGAUAAAUAACAACAAAAACUAAUAUCAGAUGGAAUGUGGAAUGAACUCAUAAUCUUAGGUAUUUAAUAUACUGGUUUUCUGAACUUAUUUAGUUUGUUAGUUUAUUUAGUGUUGUUUUUUAAUUGUUUUGAAUUAGUUUUUCUUUAAUUUUUGGAUUACUUAACUAAGAUUAAUUUGUUUUAUAAUUUUAGUAAUUAGUGAAACUUUAGGAACAAAUCUCCGUGGGAAUGAUACUCUACUUCAUCACUAUAUUACCUAUUCGAUAUGUAUACUUGCGUGUGCAAAAUCGACAACAAGUUUUUGACGCUGUUGCUGGGGAUUUUGUUUAUUUGUUAUUUGCUAAUAUUAAAAUUUUAUAGAUUAGUCUUAAUUUAAGUUUUAUUUCUAUGUUUUGCAUGUUGGUCCCAAGUAAAUGUGCUAGAGGGGGGUGAAUAGCACUUUUUAGCUCUUACUAAAAUUGGCUCUAAGUUGAGGACAAGUUUAAGAUCAAUAAAGACUGGUUCUAUGCAAGAUGAGGGAAUGAUUUAAAAAGGAAUGAAAAUAAAAACAGAAACAGAGUAGACAAUCACACAAGAAUUUAAAGUGGUUCGGUCCAAGACCUACAUUCACUACCUUGAUUGUUCAACUAAAGAUUUUCGAAAUCAACUCACUAAAAAUGGUGGAAUUCCCAAGCUCUCACCAAGCUUUAUAAUGGCUUUUCGCAAACUCAGCCACAACCUUUUAUAAUGGUUUUUCCUGGGAUCAACCAAAACCCAAACUAACUUUUCUAGGUUAAGUUAGAACCUAUACACCUAAUCAAGGAAACCAAGCUUGAAUAAAUUCCCUUAGAGUUUCUCGCACACUCUAAGUAUACAAGAAGAAGAGAAAUAAAGGUGUACCUAUGAUCACUAACUUGAUCUAAGUGGUACAAAGUGAAGUGCUUGAAUCUUUUACAAGGAUAGGAGUGAAGUGUAAAAGGUAUGCUGAAGGUUUUUGUAAUUUUUGAGCUCUUUUUGAACUUGGAAGCCUUAAUUACCUUUCUAGCCAUUGGAAGCCUCUUAAAUACUUGAAGAAUUAGCUCUGAUAGGUGUUAGGUAGUUUUUGACCGUUGGAAAUAGUUUGGUGGCAGUUUUGGCCGUUAAUCUGUCUUCUAUUGCUCAAUUCAAAUUUUCUGACAGAAUGAUCUUAGUACACUAACUACGCUCUUUUAGUUGACUAAGCUGUGUCUGUCUUCUGAUCCCAGAUUUUAGCAGUGAGCACUUAGUAGACUAACUUCUUUCUUAGUCAAUUAAGUUGUUUCUAUCUUGAAGUCUAGAUUUCUAGCAAUAUGCUCUUAGUCGACUAACUUCCUUCUUAGUCAACUAAGUCUUCUCUGUUUCUCAAUCCUCUUGAGCCCCAACUUCUAAUUUGAAAUUUAGCUAACCAACACCCUUCAUUAUCCAACUAAGAGGCUUCUAUUUUGUUGAUCAAUUGUGGCUCCUUAUUCAUAUGAUUUUUGAUAUGUUCCUUUGAAUGAUCAAUUCAUUCUUGGCAUACAAUAUUUUAUCCUGCACACUAAAGUAGAGAUAUUAGACACAAAUGAGUGGGAAUGUUUUAUUAUCAUCAAAAACUAAUAGAGUCAACAUUGCAGUUGUGUUCAACUGUUAUAUGAGAAGAGUGAACAACUUGGAGACUAUCCCGUGUGAUCCAAAAAUUGAGCGAACAUUUUGUAGACUUCAACUAAAGAAUCAAGAAGGUGUUGCUCUAGUAAAUAUAAUGCUUGAUCAAUAGGGUGAACAACAAGUCCAAAAGCGUGUAAUAGUUGGUAAUCAUUACUUAAGGGAUUAUGCUGUUCCUUUGGUAUAAGGAAUUCCAUCGAGCAUUCGUAGGCCAACUAUUCAAGCAAACAAUUUUGAAAUCAAGUCAGCUGUUAUUACCAUGAUUCAAACAUCGAUUCAGUUUGGGGGUUUUCCAAGUGAUGAUCUAAAUGGCCAUAUAUCAAACUUCUUGGAAUUUGUGACACAUUCAAGCACAAUGGUGUCAGAAAUGAUGCAUUUAGUUGAGGCUUUUUCCCUUCUCUUUUAGGGAUAAAGCUAAAGCUUGGCUAAAUGCACUCUCAACUAGCUCCAUAACAACAUGGGAUGAUCUUGCUCAUAAAUUCCUUGUCAAAUUCUUCCCUCCAACUAAGAUAACAAAUAUGAGGAAUGACAUUACAUCAUUCAUGCAACUAGAUUCUGAAUCAUUGUAUGAAGCUGAGGAAAGAUAUAAAGAAUUGCUUAGGCAUUGUCCUCAUCAUGGUCUCCCAAAGUGGCUUCCAAUGCAGACUUUUUAUAAUGGUUUGAGUGGGCAGGUUCGAACCACCAUUGAAGCUGCUGCAGGAGGAGCUUUGAUGGCAAAAUCAAUUGAUGAGGCAUAUGAUUUGCUAAAGGAAAUGUCUGUAAAUAAUUACUAAUGGCCAACCAAGCGAUCACUAUCGAUGAAAGUACCUGGAAUUCAUAACGUUGAUGCUAUGACAACGUUGUCAACUUAGGUAGCAACCUUAACUAAAACUCUUGAAUCUUUUGGUACUAAUAGUGUUCAAAGUCCUUUUAUAGCUUGUGAGUAUUAUAGAGAUAAUCAUACAAGUCAUUAGUGUCCAAGCUUAACAGAGAUAGUGCAAUUUGUGGGUAAUAGAUAGCAUAAUAACCUCUACUUCAACACUUACAACUCAGGGUGGAGGAAUCAUCCUAAUUUUUCUAGGGCUAAUAAUGAAGGUUCAUCCUCAACUUUAAGGCUAAAUGCACCUAUAGCAUUUCACCAGCAAGCUGGCACAUCUAUUUUAGAAAAAAAGCCAGUUGUGGAAGAUCUACUAAGGCAAUACAUGACACAGAAUGAUAGCAUUAUACAAAGUCAAAUAGCUCUCAUUUAGAGUCAAGCAGCAUCAAUUCGAAACAUUGAGACUUAGGUUGGUCAACUUGCCAAUUUAUUAAACAACCGACCUUAAGGAACAUUGCUUAGUGAUAUAGAGGUGAAUCCAAGGAAAGAAGGUAAGAAACAAGUUAUGGCAAUCACCUCGAGGAACGAAAAAAAGGUUGAACAAGGCAAGUUAAUUUUCAAGAUGAGCUUAUUGAGAAGAAAACAGUGAUUAAGACAGCUAACAAGCAAAGUCAAAAGAAUGAAGCCAAGGCAACUUUACUACCACUACCUUUUCCUCAGUGCCUUCAGAAAUAAAAGCUUGAUAAAAACUUCCAAAAAUUUCAUGAGGUAUUCAAAAAGCUUCACAUCAACAUUCCUUUUGUAGAAGCUUUAGAGCAAACGCCAUCAUAUGUGAAGUUUCUAGAGGACAUAUUGACAAAGAAAAGGAAACUGGAGGACUUUGAGACAAUUACAAUCACUGAGGAGUGUAUUGCAAUAAUCCAGAACAAGCUUCCACCAAAGCUUUAGGACCCAAGGAGUUUUUCUAUCCCUUUCUCAAUUGGUAAUUUUAAUUUUUCAAAAGCUUGGUGUGAAUUAGGUUAUGGUGUCUUAAUUAUGCCUUUAUCUACUGCUGGGAGAAUUGGACUAAAGGAGAUUCAACCCACUACAGUCACCUUGCAACUAGCUAACAGAACAAUGAGGCACCACUGUGGGGUGAUAGAAGAUGUCUUGCUUAAAGUUGGGAAAUUGUUCAUUCUAGUAGACUUCACAGUAUGUGAGAUGGAGGAGGAUCAAAAGGUUCUGAUCAUACUAAGACAUCCAUUCUUAGCCACUGCAGGCACUUUGAUAAAUGCAAGGGUGAUAACUCUAUUAUAUAGAGUUAUUUUGACACAUUUUGGGGGUUUAAGUAGUUAGAUCUUUGAAAUUUUAGAUUCGGAUCGUUAGCAUUUUAGGUUUUUCAUGUUGAGUAGUUAAUUUAAGUUACUUUAGUUAAAUUUUAUGUUGUUUUGUGUUAAAUUACUUUAAGAGUAGUUAUUGCCAGUUUUUUCUAUUACUUUUGUAGGAAAUUUGAUGAAAAAGGCUCAUAUGAUAAAAAUCCGUGCAAGUAUGGUGAUGAUUUCAUUCAUAUAUGUUGUGGUAUUUUGACCAUAUAUCUCUUUACAAAACUCCAAAUGAAGUGUUUCAUAGACCACUAGAAUGCUAAGAAGAAGGGAUACAACUUUUAUAUUUACCACUUUUUCCAAUUCUGAUUAGAUCAUGGUCAAAAUAUUUGUCUAAUUUGAAGCACUACAGCAAUAUGCGUGGAUUGAACAUGAUGCAGUAUUUGGAGCAUAUCUUUCAAUCCAGAAGUCUAAUUGACAUGAUGAUUAAGCCAUUGCAAAGACAAGACAGGGCUACAACUUUUACGUUUACCACUUUUCCAAGUACGGAGUAGAUCAUGGUUAAAAUCAUAUUCAAAGUUGAUCAACUGCCACAGCACUAGGAGAAAAAGGCUGUAGUGCUGGAAAAGUAGCGUCGCAGUGCUGGGCAAUUUUCCAAAAAUAAAAAAGGUUGAUGAGAUUUUGAAAAUUAGGUUACUUGGAGCCUAUUUAAGGGACCUUUUUCAGAGAUUUUAAGGAGGAGGCAGCAAGCAACUAUUCUGGAGAUUUGGAGCCAAGAACAAAGCAAGAAAAUAAGAGAAUUGGAGAAAGAAUCAAGAUCACAAAGCUCCAACUAUUAGUUUUCUCUCUUUACUUUUGUGUUUUUCUCAUUUCCUUUGACUUGGAUUGAUGGCUAAAUUUCUUUGGAUGAAGUUUUUAUUAGAUAUUAUGAGCUAAAUUUGUUUUUCUAAGAUUGCAAUUGAACUCACAUGUAAUCUAAACUUUUAAUCUCCUUCUAUCUUAUCUUUAAUGGGAUUUGAAUUAUUUAUUCCAAUUUGUUCUUAAUGCUUCUUAUUACUUGAUCACCAAUUAAAUUGAUUUAGGAACCUAAACAAACUUGGGAAGGGGAGUUUAGUGUAGACUAAAAUUGAAAUAGUAUAUGAUCAUAUUAAUUGAUUUGUGUAUAGGAUAGGGAUAUACCUAUAGGCCUUUUGUAGCCAAAUUUGAACAUGAACUUAAUGAGUCUGUUUUAAUUUCAAUUCACAUAGGGAUACAGUGUUUUGGCUAAAAUAGAUAUUUUUAUAAGAUGAGUCAUGAGACCUUAUAAAUUAUUAAGGACUCUAGGUUAGCAAUUCAACCCAUUGAAAUAUGUUAAGGAAGAAAGGGUCAAUUUAGAUGAAGUGUGAGGGAUAUUAUAAUCCUAAGCUUGUUUGAUUUGCUUUUUACCCAAUUAUCAUGUUGCUUUAAUUUUUAAUUAAAUUAGUUUUAGUUGGGUAGUUUUUAGUUUACUUAGAAUUCAGCUUUUAAUUAUUUGAAUAAAACUAAAUUGUUUGAAUUUUAGUACUUAGUAAAAUUUUAUAUCAAUACCCUGUGGGAUCGAUGCUUUGCUUGCUUAUAUACUAUUUAUUCGAUACGUAUACUUGCGUAGUAGAAUUUUAACUAACAUGUUUUUGGCGUCGUUGCUAGAGAAUUAUUUCUAGAAUCUUUACUAAUACUAAUACCAAGCAAUUUAGUCUUACUUCAAAUUUUAUCUUUCUUGUUUUAAUAUUAGUUUUGUUUGCCUAUAGAUAUCUUCAAUCAGUGUAUGCAAAAAAGAAACAACUUAAAUCUUGUUCCUUUUGAUUUUGAGAUAGAAAAAACUUUUAGAAGACGUCGAAGGGAGAAUAUGCAAGUUGCAACUUUAAAUCAGACAAUGGCUGAGGAUAACAACAACAAUGGCAAUAAUGCUAUUAAUUUAGUUCCCGAAGCAAAUAAAGCACUACGGGGAUUAUGCUAUUCCUCUUUUGCAAAGUUUACACCAAAGCAUUAAAAGACCUUCCAUCAAUGCAAAUAAUUUUGAAAUUAAACCAACUUACAUUCAGAUGAUUAAGUCUUCAGUCAGUUUAACGGGUUACCCAAUGAUGAUCCUAAUUCUCAUUUGGUGAAUUUCUUGGAAAUGUGCGAUACAUUCAAAUACAAUGGAGUAACUGAUGACGCUAUUAGAUUAAGACUGCUUCCGUUUUCUUGGAGGGAUAAAGCAAAGAGUUGGCUUAGUUCAUUGCCUAAUGGGUUUAUCACUACUUAUGAGGACUUGGCUCAAAAGUUUCUAGCAAAAUUCUUUCCGCAUGCCAAGACUACAAAUAUGAAGAAUGAUAUCACCUCAUUCACACAAUUUGAUGGUGAGUCCUCGUAUAAAGCUUGGGAUAGAUUUAAAGAACUACUGAGAAGAUGUCCACAUCAUGGGAUUCCUGAUUGGUUGCAAGUUUAGACAUUUUACAAUGGGCUGGUUAGGUCAAUAAAAACCACAAUUGAUGCUGCUGUUGGUGGGGCAUUAAUGAGUAAGAAUGCUACAGAUGCUAAUAAUCUAUUGGAAGAGAUGGCAUCAAAUAAUUGCCAAUGGCCUUUAGAAUGGUCAAGUUCAAUGAAAGUUGUUGGAGCUUAUGAAUUUGAUGCACUUGGCACCUUAACUACUUAAGUAGCUACACAAGUGGUUGCACUGUCUAAGAAGUUUGACACACUGAUAGUUCAUGUAGUUCAAAAUUCAUUUGUAGUUUGUGAGAUGUGUGGAGAUGGCCAUUUAAAUGAUCAAUGUCCUUAUAAUUCUGAAUCAGUCUAAUUUGUGAGGAACUUUAAUAGAUAGCAGAAUAAGCCAUAUUCCAAUACUUAUAAUCCUAGCUAGCAAAACCACCCCAACUUUUCAUGGAACAAUGCAAAGCCUUCAAAUCUAAAAGCCAUUAUGCCUCAUAGUUUUUAACAACAAGGUAGACCACCGAUUCUUGAAAAGAGGUCCCAAGUGGAAGAACUUCUCUUGCAAUAUAUAUCAAAGACUGAUGCUACAAUUCAAAGUCAAGGUGCCUCCUUGAGAAAUCUUGAGACCUAAGUGGGACAGCUUGCAAAUUCCAUCAAUAAUAGACCUCAAGGUUCUUUACCUAGUGACACACAAAUCAAUCCUAAAGGUAAGGAACAAUGCCAAGUAAUCAUUUUAAGGAGUGGAAAAGAAAUUAAGGGGGUGAACGAAAAAGCAGUUGAAUCUGCAAAUGAACAUGUUGAUAAGGAAGGAUUGUGUUAAAAAGAAAUUGAAGUUGAACAGAAAGAAGAUGAAAAGGUUGACAAUCAAGGGAUUUCUCAAGUCAUCCAUCAUCCACCACAUUUUCCCUAAAGGCUCAAAAAGCAAAAGCUUGAAAAGCAAUUUCAGAAGUUCAUCAAUGUCUUCAAGAAAUUACACAUAAAUAUUCCUUUUGCUGAAGCUUUGGAACAAAUGCCCAGCUAUGUCAAGUUAUUGAACGACAUCCUCUCCAAAAAGAGAAAGCUAGGUGAGUUUGAAACUAGCUCCCUAACAGAAAAAUAUAGUGCAAUUUUCCAAAAUAAAUUGCCACCAAAACUCAAAGAUCUCGGUAGUUUCACAAUCCCUUGCAUUAUUGGUAAUUUAUUUUUUGCAAAAGCUUUGAGUGAUUUAGGUGCAAGCAUCAAUUUAAUGCCUUGGUCAAUUUUUGAUAAACUUGGUUUGGCGGAAUGCAAACCCAUUUCUGUUACUUUGCAACUGGCUGAUCGCUCUUAUGUGUACCUAAAGGGAAUUAUUGAAGAUGUUCUUGUCAAGAUAUAUAAAUUUAUUUUUCCAAUUGAUUUUAUAAUUCUUGACAUGGAAAAAAUAGGCAAAUUCCAAUCAUCCUUGGAAGGGCAUUCUUAGCAACUGCUAGAGUUUUGAUUGAUGUUGAAAAAUGUGAGCUCACUUUGAGAGUUCAAGACCAACAGGUAACGUUUAAUAUUUUCAAAGCUUUAAAAUUGCCUAUGACAUCUUAAAACUGCUUUUUCAUGAGUGUGGUAAAUGACUUUACACAAGAUGUUUUCUUAGAAGAAUAUCCCAAUGAUCCUCUUGAAGCAUGUUUAGUUGUUAAUUCUGAUAGGGAUGAUGAUGAAUUUAUUGAAUACUCAAAUUUGUUAAAUGCUCACUCCAGACUUAGAACUAAUCAUCAAUUUGAGUCUUUAGAUGUUUCACCUUCUUUGAUGCUAGUUUCUAAGCCCUCCAUUAAGGAACCACCUACUUUGGAAUACAAACCUCUGCCUGCACACUUGAGGUAUGCUUUUCUUGGAAAAUCUUCUACUCUUCUAGUUAGUAUUUCAGAUUUUCCUACUAACAUGCAAGAAGAGAAGUUAUUAAGGACACUCAGAGAAUUUAAGAAAGCAAUAGGGUGGAUCAUAGUUGAUAUUAAAGGAAUUAGCUCUUCUUUUUAUAUGCACAAAAUUUUCCUUGAGGAAAAUCACAAAGCAACAAUUGAACAACAAAGAAGAUUGAAUCCCAUCAUGAAAGAAAUGGUCAAGAAAGAAAGCAUCAAGUGGUUGGAUGCUGGAAUAAUUUAUCCUAUUUCUGAUAGCUCAUGGGUAAGUCUAGUUCAAUGUUCCUAAGAAAGGGAGAAUGAUUAUGGUUGCCAAUGACAAUAAUGAGCUGAUUCCAAUAAGAAUUGUGAAUGGGUGGAGAGUGUACAUGGAUUAUCGCAAGCUCAACAAUGCUACAAGGAAAGAUCACUUCCCUCUUCCAUUCAUUGAUCAAAUGUUGGAUUGCCUGGCUGGUAAGGAAUUAGUGCUUUCUAGAUGGUUAUUCUAGUUAUAAUCAAAUUGCUAUUGCCCUUGAAGAUCAAGAAAAUACUACAUUUACAUGUCCUUAUUGCACCUUUACUUUUAGAAGAAUGCCAUUUAGAUUAUGUAAUGAACCUAGAUGUAUGAUGGUUGUAUUCGCAGACAUGGUGGAGAAAUGUUUGGAGGUAUUUAUGGAUGAUUUUUCUUUGGAAAUAAUUUUGAUGAUUAUCUUUUAAAUUUUGCUAAGGUACUCAAGAGAUGUGAAGAAACAAAUUUGGUGCUCAAUUGGAAGAAAUGUCACUUCAUGGUGCAAGAAGGUAUUGUUCUUAGGCACAAAAUCUCUAGUUGUGGCAUUGAGGUAGAUAAAGCAAAAAUUGAAACAAUUGAGAAAUUACCACCCUCAAUAAAUGUCAAAGUUAUUAGAAGUUUUCUUGGUCAUGCUGGUUUUUAUAGAAGAUUUAUUAAAGACUUUUCAAAAAUUUCUUAACCACUUUGCAAUUUAUUGGAAAAAGAUAUGCCAUUUAACUUUGAUAAUGAAUGUCUUGUGGCUUUUGAUGAAUUGAAGCAAAGAUUAAUAUUUGCACCUAUCAUAAUUAGUCCCUAUUGGACUCUCCCUUUUGAAUUAAUGUGUCAUGUAAGUGGCUAUGCGGUGGGAGCUGUUUUAGGACAAAAGAAGGAUAAAAUCUUUCAUUCCAUUUGUUAUGCUAGCAAGACUUUGAAUAAGGCCUAAAAAAAUUAUACCAUAAUAGAAAAUGAGCUUUUGGAUGUAGUUUUUGCUUUUGACAAAUUUCGCUCCUAUCUCAUGGGGACAAAGGUGAUAGUGUACAUUGACCAUUUAGCUAUCAAAUAUUUGAUUGCAAAGAAAGAUGGUAAACGAAGAUUAAUAAGGUGGAUUCUCUUGCUACAAGAGUUUGAUUUAGAGACUCGUGACAAAAAAGGAAUAAAAAAUCAAGUGGCAAACCACUUCUCAAGAUUGGAGAUGGAAGCUCAAGGUAAAGAUUCAACUUUAAUCAAAGAGAUGUUCCCUGAUGAACAAAUCCUUCAAGUUGGCAAGAAAUCACUUCCUUGGUAUGUUGAUUUCAUGAAUUAUCUGGUAAGCAAUAUUAUUCCGCCUUAUUUAAAUUUUUAUCAGAAAAAGAAAUUUUUGCAUGAUGUUAAAUUUUAUUUUGGGAUGAGCCUUUCUUGUUUAAGCAGUGUAAAGACCAGAUCUUCAAAAAAUGUGUCCCAGAAAAAAAAAUUCAAAAUGUGCUUAACCAUCACCAUUCUUUUGAUUAUGGAAGGCAUUUUGGAGGAACAAGGACUACUGCUAAAGUCCUCCAAUCAAGUUUGUAUUGGCCUACAUUAUUUAAGGAUGCUCACAAUUUUGUUUUGCAUUAUAACAGGUGCCAAAGAAUGGGUAAUAUCUCAAGGCGACAUGAGAUGCCUCUCAACAUCUUUGAGAUAGAAAUUUUUUAUGUAUAGGGUAUUGACUUCAUGUGUCCAUUCAUAUCUUCAUACAACAACAAAUACAUCUUGCUUGCCAUAAAGUAUGUCUCCAAAUGGGUUGAAACGGUAGUGUUUCUUCAUAAUGAUUCAAAGUUGGUGAUGAAUUUCAUUAAGAAGAACAUGUUCACUCGAUUUGGUACUCCAAGGGCAAUUAUUAGUGAUGAGGGGAGUCACUUUUGCAACAAGUAUUUUGAUACACUUUUGGAAAAAUAUGGAGUUAAACAUAAGGUUGAAACUGCAUACCAUCCUCAAACUAGUGGACAAGUGAAAAUGUCAAAUAAAGAAAUUAAGCGAAUCUUAGAAAAAAAUGGUGUGUCCCAUAAGAAAAGAUUAGGCGAGAAGAUUAGAUGAUGCAUUAUGGGCAUAUCAGACUGCUUACAAGACCUCAAUUCGUAUGUCUCCAUACAAGUUAGUCUUUGGCAAAGCUUCCCACCUACUAGUGGAACUUGAGCACAAUGCUUAUUAGGCUAUGAAGAAGUUAAAUUUUGAUUUACAAGCAGCGGGUGAGUAAAGGUUGCUGCAAUUAAUUGAAAUUGAUGAAUUUCACCUUCAACCUUAUGAGAAUGCCAAACUCUAUAAGGAGAAAACAAAGCAAUGGCAUGAUAAGAAAAUAGUGGAACGAAGCUUUAAGCCAGGACAAUUGGUGUUGCUUUAUAAUUCUCACUUGAAAUUAUUUUUGGGGAAGCUCAAAUCAAGGUGGUCUAGUCUGUUCAUUUUCAAUGAGGUAUCUCCACAUGGAGCAAUUGAAGUUAGGGGGACAGAUGGUUCGAAAUUCAAAGUAAAUGGACAAAGAUUAAAGCAUUAUUGGGGAGGCAAAAUAAAUCACCAAAAGUCCGCAAUAUAGUUGCUUGACAUGGCCUAGAAUCCAAUAAAAAAAUUUAUCUUCCACAAGAAUUAAUGAUAAUGAAGAUGAGAAGGAAAAUUUGAGCAUUUUUAGAUUCAUCCAAUCACCAGUGGAGUAUUCUUUGUCGUUCCUACAUUUUUUUCUUUAAACAUUGGGGACAAUGUUUAGUUUUAAGUUUGGGGGCGUGUUUUGUUUGUUUUUGCUUAUCUUUGUUUGUUUAUCUUUAUUAUUUUACAUGUUUAGCUAGUUUUAAUUUUUAGCUUUUAAAAAUAUUGAGAUAGUUUGCACCUUAUCCAUGAUUUUUCCCUAUCUUAGGAUGAUAUUUUGAUUAUCUUGUGAUUCUUAGCUUUUGGGAAACAUAUAGUUAUGAUUUACUUUUAUAUGCUAUUCUUGUGUUAACUUUUAUUUUAGAAUGUGACUUCCAAUAAUUCGAGCACCAUAUUUGUUUACUUAGAAUUUUUAUGUGAUUUAGAGAAAGUUUAUAUUGAUAAAGAGUAUAGUGAAGUCACGAAUUCUAGAAUUUGUUUGAUUCUCUCUCGAGGCGAAAUCCUAGAUAACACUUAGGAUAGGAAGUGAUUUAGGCCAUCUUUGGAUCGGUUAAGCCUUAUUGAGCUACCUUAUUAUAUAGUUAUCCUUAGUCAUCCAUUUUGAGCCUAAAUUACCAUUUCUUUGUAUAUACACAAAUAUAUUAGACUUAGCAUUUUUAUUUAAUUUCAACAGUUUGAACCUUUCUCCUUUAAAUAUUUUGAUCUUUCUAAGAGGGGUAUUGAGCUUAAAGAUAAAUUAAGGGAGAAAGGUGAUGGGUGCUUGAAAUUUACCCCAUGUUCAUAAUUGUCAAAAACAAGUUUGGGGUGUAAAAAAAAAAUAAAGUGUGUUGUAUAAAGGAAAUUUUACUUUAAGUUUGGAAGUGCUAUAGAAUUUUAUUAAGCUCUUUAUAAGUCCUAGAUUGAUUAAGAGUUUAAGAUGAAUUUGAGCCUAAAAAUAUCCUUUAUCAUACCUUGACCCUAGCUUUACAUUAUAAGCUUAAUAAAGACCUAUUGAUCCUUGAAUAAGUGUUAUUCUACAUUAAUGGGGAGAAAAAUGAAAACAAACUUACGGAAUCCUAGUACUAACCUAUGUUUACAUUUGGCAUAAACUAAUAUGAAUUGCAUGAUAGUUUUUGUAAAAGAUUAUACACACAUACAAGAAGUCCAUUCGAAAAAUAAGUUUUCACUUGAAUUGAUGCAUGACUUUAAGUAUUAAUUGUAUUGUACCUUAAGCUAGAAUUAGGAUAAUUUCUAAGGGAAAUAUUGGGAAAUCAUGAUUUGGUAAUUCUAUCUCUCAUUCAAUUUUUUUUAUGUUCAGUUUUUUUUAUUUUCUUUUGCUCGAAGACUAGCAAAAUCUUAAGUUCGGGGGUGUGAUAACUCUAUUAUAUAGAGUUAUUUUGACACAUUUUGAGGGCUUAAGUAGUUAGAUCUUUGAGAUUUUAGGUUCAAAUCAUAGCACUUUUGGUGUUUUUCUAGUUUAAGUUUGACUAUAUGUUGAGUAGUUAAUUUAAGUUAUUUUAGUUAAAUUUUAUGUUAUUUUGUUUUAAAUUACUUUAAGAGUAUCUAUUGCUAGUUUCUUUUAUUGCUUUUGUAAGAAAUUUGAUGAAAAAGGCUCAUAUGAUGAAAAUCCAUGCAAGUGUGGUGAUGAUUUCAUUCAUAUAUGUUGCGGUAUUUUGGCCAUAUCUCUCUCUACAAACUCCAAAUGAAGUGUUUCUUAAACCACUAGAACGUUAAGAAGAAAGGAUACAACUUUUAUGUUUACCACUUUUCCCAAUUCUGAUUGGAUUAUGGUCAAAGUUUCUAGUCUAAGUUGACUCACUGUUAUAGUAUGCAUGGACCGAUCAUGAUGCAGUAUUUGCAGCAUAUCUUUCAAUCUAGAAGUCCAAUUAACAUUAUUCUUAAGCCAUUGGAAAGCUAAGAGACAGGGAUACAAUUUUUGUUUAUGACUUUUCCUAGUUUGGAGCAGUUCAUGGUGAAAAUCACAUUUGAAAUUGAUAGACCACCUCAGCACUAGGAGAACAAGGUUGCAGCGUUGGAGAAGUAGCAUUGCAGCGCUAGGCGAUUUUUAAAAAAUAAAAAAGGUUGACGACAUUUUGGAAAUUAGGUUACUUUAAGCCUAUUUAAGGGACCUUUUUUAGAGAUUUCAAGGAGGAAGCAGCAAGCAACUAUUCUGGAGAUUUGGAGCCAAGAACAAAGCAAGAAAAUAAGAGAAUUUGAGGGAGAAUCAAGAUCACAAAGCUCCAACUAUUAGUUUUCUCUCUUUAUUUUUUUGUUUUUCUUAUUUCCUUCGACUUGGAUUAAUGGCUAAAUUUCUUUGGAAGAAGUUUUUAUUAGAUAUUAUGAGCUAAAUUUGUUUGUCUAGGAUUGUAAUUGAACUCACAUGUAAUCUAAACUUUUAAUCUCUUUCUUUCUUAUCUUUAAUGGGAUUUGAAUUGUUUAUUCCAAUUUGUUCUUAAUGCUUUUAAUUGCUUGAUCACCAAUUAAAUUGAUUUAGGAACCUAAACAAACUUGGGAAAAAGAGUUUAAUGUAGACUAAAAUUGGGAUAGCAAAUGAUCAUAGUAAUUGAUUUGUGUAUUGGAUAGGGAUAUACCUAUAGGCCUUAUAUAGUCAAAUUAAAGCCCGAACUUAAUGAGUCUGUUUUAAUUUCAAUUCAAAUAGGGAUAUAGUGUUUUGGUUAAAAUAAAUAUUUUUAUAAGAUGAGUCUGGAGACCUUUAUAAAUAAUUGAAGAAUCGAGGUUAACAAUUCAACCCAUUAAAAUAAGUUAAGGAAGAGAGCUAACAUUUAGAUGAAGUGUGAGGGAUAUUGUAAUCCUAGGCUUGUUUAAUUUGCUUUUUAACCAAUUAUCUUGUUGCUUUAAUUUUUAAUUAAAUUAGUUUUAGUUGAGUUGUUUUUAGUUUAAUUAGAAUUUAAAUUUUAAUUAUUUGAAUAAAACUAAAUUGUUCUAAUUUUAGUACUUAGUGAAAUUUUAUAUCAAUUCUUUGUAGGAUCAAUGCUCUGCUUGCUUAUAUACUAUCUAUUCGAUAUGUAUACUUGCGUAGUAGAAUUUUAAUUGACAAAGAGAAGACAGAACAAUUUUCAGAGUUAGAGAGGAGGUAGUUAAAUUUACUAUUUUAAUGCAACUAAAAGUCCUUCAACCACAGCUCAUUACUAUAGAGUGGAUUUAGUUUAUAAAGAUCAAGGUAAUCCUACUGCACUACCUACAAGUAAGCAAGCAUCAAUUCUUAAAUCAGAGCCACCGCCACCACAACUCAAAACUAAACAGUGUUAUGAUGAGCAUGAUCCACUACCUUCAGUUAAUCUUGAUUUUAAAGUGGGACAACAAGUGUUACUGACGAAAUUAGUCAAGCUCUUUCCAUGGAAACAAAAAUCAAAGUGGUCAAGUCUUUACAAGGUGGUUAAGGUCAAUUCAUGCGGUGCAAUAGCUAUUUGUAGUGAAUGGGCAACAUCUCCAGCAUUACCUAAGAGGUGAACUGGAUCACCGAAUAUCCUCAAGUACUUAAUAGCGAACAAAAAGGGGUAUCAUAGUCAAACUAGUGACUAUAAAGAAGCGCUUUUUUAGAGGCAACCCAAGCUAUAUUUUUUUAGGUUUAGUUGUUAUUUUAGUCAGUUUUUGUUUUUCUAUUUAAAUAUGUCAAACCCUGUUCUAUAAAAUAAUUACGAUGUCAUUUACAUGCUCAAUAGAAUGGUUACAUAUUUAGGAAGUUUGAGAAAUCUUUAAAAGACGAUAUUGCCCCUAAUGGUACCAUUAAGUCGAUUAAGCCUCGAACUAGUUCAAAUAGGAAUUUUAAGGUGCAAUUAAGAGUUUCACAAUUUAGGGAUGACUCAAAAUGGUAAUUCGGAGUUCGAGGAUCAAUUUGGAGUCAAACCGAAAUUUUCACUAUCUAGGGCCAAAAUGAUCAUUUGCCACUAGGGGACAAAAUGGGAAUUUUUAGAAAAGAUUUUUUUGGUCCAUUUGACUUAUUGGAGUAUGAUUUAAGUAUUGGAGUAUGAUUUGAAGUUUAAAAGUGAAAAAUUUUAAUUCCAGUAUAAUUUGGAGUAUAAGGGUGAAAUGGUAAUUUUGCCACCCCGAGGGCAAAUCGGUAAAUUUUCACCCCCGACACUUGUCAAGACCAAGGGAUUUUAUUCAUCAUGGAAAUGGAUAAACAUGAGAAAUGUGUGGUGGAGAAUUAAAGAAUUAAAAGUCAAAUAUUUAAAAUUUGAGCCAAUAAGGAAAUGCCAUGUGUCAUGUUUUUAUUAUUUUAUUAUUUCUUUAUAAAAAGGCAAAAAAAUCAGCCCAUGUCUCCCAUAGUGAUCAGCCAAACCAGAAGAGAAGAGAAACCAAGGAAAAACAAACCCUAGGUGGGACAAAUCAAAGAGAAAGUGUUGGAAUUCAAGGAUUUAAUCAAGCAAAGGUAAAAUUUCUUUGAUUUUGCUAGUGAUUUACCUUACCCAUGCAUUUUCCCUUAAUUUCCAUGGUUAAAUUACAUGUUUUCAUGAUGAAUUCAUGGCUGGUCAAAAUGGGUACGGAGAGAGAAUGAUCUUGGAUUGGUUUGAUUUUUAGGUAUGUUAGUGUUUUUAGGUGAUUAAUGAUGUGUAGCAUGAAAACAAGUNNNNNNNNNNNNNNNNNNNNNNNNNNNNNNNNNNNNNNNNNNNNNNNNNNNNNNNNNNNNNNNNNNNNNNNNNNNNNNNNNNNNNNNNNNNNNNNNNNNNNNNNNNNNNNNNNNNNNNNNNNNNNNNNNNNNNNNNNNNNNNNNNNNNNNNNNNNNNNNNNNNNNNNNNNNNNNNNNNNNNNNNNNNNNNNNNNNNNNNNNNNNNNNNNNNNNNNNNNNNNNNNNNNNNNNNNNNNNNNNNNNNNNNNNNNNNNNNNNNNNNNNNNNNNNNNNNNNNNNNNNNNNNNNNNNNNNNNNNNNNNNNNNNNNNNNNNNNNNNNNNNNNNNNNNNNNNNNNNNNNNNNNNNNNNNNNNNNNNNNNNNNNNNNNNNNNNNNNNNNNNNNNNNNNNNNNNNNNNNNNNNNNNNNNNNNNNNNNNNNNNNNNNNNNNNNNNNNNNNNNNNNNNNNNNNNNNNNNNNNNNNNNNNNNNNNNNNNNNNNNNNNNNNNNNNNNNNNNNNNNNNNNNNNNNNNNNNNNNNNNNNNNNNNNNNNNNNNNNNNNNNNNNNNNNNNNNNNNNNNNNNNNNNNNNNNNNNNNNNNNNNNNNNNNNNNNNNNNNNNNNNNNNNNNNNNNNNNNNNNNNNNNNNNNNNNNNNNNNNNNNNNNNNNNNNNNNNNNNNNNNNNNNNNNNNNNNNNNNNNNNNNNNNNNNNNNNNNNNNNNNNNNNNNNNNNNNNNNNNNNNNNNNNNNNNNNNNNNNNNNNNNNNNNNNNNNNNNNNNNNNNNNNNNNNNNNNNNNNNNNNNNNNNNNNNNNNNNNNNNNNNNNNNNNNNNNNNNNNNNNNNNNNNNNNNNNNNNNNNNNNNNNNNNNNNNNNNNNNNNNNNNNNNNNNNNNNNNNNNNNNNNNNNNNNNNNNNNNNNNNNNNNNNNNNNNNNNNNNNNNNNNNNNNNNNNNNNNNNNNNNNNNNNNNNNNNNNNNNNNNNNNNNNNNNNNNNNNNNNNNNNNNNNNNNNNNNNNNNNNNNNNNNNNNNNNNNNNNNNNNNNNNNNNNNNNNNNNNNNNNNNNNNNNNNNNNNNNNNNNNNNNNNNNNNNNNNNNNNNNNNNNNNNNNNNNNNNNNNNNNNNNNNNNNNNNNNNNNNNNNNNNNNNNNNNNNNNNNNNNNNNNNNNNNNNNNNNNNNNNNNNNNNNNNNNNNNNNNNNNNNNNNNNNNNNNNNNNNNNNNNNNNNNNNNNNNNNNNNNUAAGACGAGAAUUAAUCUCGGAGUUGCAUCUUAGAAAGUAAGGGUUCGUAGCCCUACAUCUUCUUAGUCAAUUGUGGGCUCACGUGUCACUGUAAUAGUAAUUUUAUUCUUCAGUUAUCUGAUUUAAAGUAUGUAUGAAUAUAUUUAGCUUUUACACAAUGUAUUUUUGGCGAGUUUUGGUAUUUUCGAAGAAAAAUGACGAAAAUGCCCCUGUGAGCCAGAAAGUAAUAUUUUAUUGUUUUGAUUUGGAAAUGACUUAUGAUUUUUUCUGAAAUGUGAGAUUUAAUAACUGUCACUCACUAGGGAGAUGCAGAAGCUGAUGCUAAGCCUUGCGGGGUUUCGAUCGGCAUUCGGGGUAAUGAGUGCCUAUCGGGACGUCGCGGGGGUUGUCAC
Molecule: long non-coding RNA, 34244 nt
Filed under: Theobroma cacao (cacao)
Lineage: Eukaryota; Viridiplantae; Streptophyta; Magnoliopsida; Malvales; Malvaceae
Description: long non-coding RNA (TCAC_LNC003780)
Source: RNAcentral